UUUCCAAUUAUGAUGUCGUAAUGUGCGUCGGUAACCAUUCGUGACGGUUAUGGUAUGUUGAGCAGAUUGGCUGACCAUAUGUCGAUAGAAUCUAUGAGUCGGUCGACUAUGCGUCAGGGGGUUGACCGUCAGUUGAGAACUCUGAAAUACCGACGGUCGAAGUAGUCGUUUGUAGUGUCCGAACAUCGGUCACUUGCCGAUCUUGAGUCGGUGUAGUGUGUUCGGUUGGUCGGUUUAGAGUAGUGUCGGCCUGUUUGAUCGAUGUUCAAUCGAUAGUCGGUUUCAGGGUCAUGUUUGUUUGUGGGGCC
RNAcentral lists this long non-coding RNA (308 nucleotides) under Elaeis guineensis (African oil palm). Its description in RNAcentral is "long non-coding RNA (EGUI_LNC079903)". Lineage: Eukaryota; Viridiplantae; Streptophyta; Magnoliopsida; Arecales; Arecaceae. The record is from RNAcentral.